UGUGCCAGCAGCCGCGGUAAUACGUAGGGUGCGAGCGUUGUCCGGAAUUAUUGGGCGUAAAGAGCUUGUAGGCGGUUUGCCGCGUCUGCUGUGAAAGCCCGGGGCUUAACCCCGGGUCUGCAGUGGGUACGGGCAGGCUAGAGUGUGGUAGGGGAGACUGGAAUUCCUGGUGUAGCGGUGGAAUGCGCAGAUAUCAGGAGGAACACCGAUGGCGAAGGCAGGUCUCUGGGCCACUACUGACACUGAGAAGCGAAAGCGUGGGGAGCGAACAG
RNAcentral lists this ribosomal RNA (272 nucleotides) under uncultured Actinomycetales bacterium. Its description in RNAcentral is "partial 16S ribosomal RNA". It matches the Rfam family "Bacterial small subunit ribosomal RNA", at positions 504 to 775 of the family's 1533-position model. Lineage: Bacteria; Bacillati; Actinomycetota; Actinomycetes; Actinomycetales. The record is from RNAcentral.